UGCCAGCCGCCGCGGUAAUACGUAGGGAGCGAGCGUUAUCCGGAAUUAUUGGGCGUAAAGCGUGCGUAGGCGGUUCGUUAAGUCAAAUCUGAAAGCCCCCAGCUUAACUGGGGAGAGUGAUUUGAAACUGGCGGACUUGAGUAUGGCAGAGGUAAGUGGAAUUUCAUGUGUAGCGGUGGAAUGCGUAGAUAUAUGAAGGAACACCAGUGGCGAAGGCGGCUUACUGGACCAGAACUGACGCUGAGGCACGAAAGCGUGGGGAGCAAACAGGAUUAGAUA
This 279-nucleotide ribosomal RNA is filed under the name uncultured bacterium. Its description in RNAcentral is "partial 16S ribosomal RNA". It matches the Rfam family "Bacterial small subunit ribosomal RNA", at positions 506 to 784 of the family's 1533-position model. The record is from RNAcentral.